CAUUUAAUUGAAAGAUUCUGACUUGCUAUUACCUCUUUAUUGUUCUGCAGACCCGAGAAAUUGACGUCCUUCAUGGUAGGGUUUUGCAAAGGGGCAAAACCAAAGGGGUAGAGCCCUAAGCCGGAGGUAAAGCCAUCAUCUUUCUUUGACAUUUAUUCCUUCUUCGUUGUCCAAUUCUUCUUCCACUUGCGCAACUCAUGGUUAUCAUUUGAAUUCCCCAGUUCCUUUUGCUUUCUGGGACAGCAAUUUUUCUUAUCGCAUUGAAUGUCCGCACGGUCUUAUUUGGAUUGACAAGUGUUCUGCCUUCAAUUUUGUCUUUUGUUUCUCUGCGGUCCAAUCUGGUUCUCAUUAACCUGUGAAGCAUUUGUCUUUAUCUCAUUGAUGAAGUUAGUUUCACAGAUCACCAUUUCUUAUUUUUCUUUUUUAAGUUUUUACUGUGGUUUUUAUGUUGUGCUCCCUAUUUUACUAAAGUCGGAUCAUUUUAUCUUAUGAUUCGAUUUUCUUUUUUUCAUUUUAAUGUUAGCCAAUGAUGAUGGAUAUGGGCAUGAACCCCCAACAACAGUUGCGCACUGUGUUGUUGUUGGCAAGGAUGAGUGUGCCAAAACGCUGAUCUGAGGCUCUAGCUGGCUUAGUCUGAGCAUUUUUCAUAUUUUCUGGUCGAUUCAAUGAACAUUUAUCCAUAGUGGUUAGACUACUUGUUCUCUUUGCAGACGCUUCCCACCAACAAUUGACAUUGUAGGUAGGAAUUAUUAUACUAACCCACUUGUUUGGAAAUUGCAACUAGUUAGUAGUUUUGGUUUUUCAGUUUUAGUUUCAAGUUUUUUUUUCGUAAAUCAUCUACAUCGUCUCACCCAUGUGAUCAGAUUGAUAUGGUUAAGGACAGCCUUCAAGUUGUGUCCUUUUGUCCUUUGGUGUUGACAAAUCUGUUUGAAUAUCCCAUAUAUGAUAGGCCAUGUAUCAGAAGGUACCUUGAAAGAUGAAGAAGCAACUGAAGGGUUUGGUUGGCCUAUGUAGUUUUUGCUAGAUGAUUACCUGUUUUCUGUCUUUUCUAAUUGCUCUCUUGAGGAAGCGAAACAUCCCACAAUGAUGGGAAAUGUGUCACCCUAGAUUCUCUUUGGAGCACUCUUUUUCUUUUUAUAAUCUGAAGACUCCCUGUUGCAGUGAGAUAUAUGAUGGAUUUGAUAAUGUCACCCCAAGAUAUCCUAUAUAAAAUGUGAUGUAAUUGUGCCAUUUUAUAACCAAUAAUGCUUGUUUGAUGGUAUUCUGCGUCUAUGUCAAAUCAUACCAAUAUAUUUAUGCAUUUCAUUCGUUUUAAUUUUGGGCAUUUUCAGUUGACCUGUAUUUUCUGGAUUGAGCUUUGAGCAUGCUAACGAUCUACAUGUGUGGAUAUAUUGGACACUUAUUUUUAUUUUUUUUAAUUCCAUCAACGAUCUCAGAGAGAAUGGUCCUUAGACCUUGAUCAUGACAGAGAGAAAUUACUGUUCCUGUCUUAUCUAUGGCGACUUAACAGUCUUUCUCAAUUUUUUUACUUCAUGUCUUUUACCUCAAAAUGCAUGCUCAGAAUAUUGAUAUCCUCAAGUGUAAAAAGUUCAAUGGCAUGAGCCACUUGAUGAUAAGUUGCUGGCAAAUCAUGCAUCAGCUGAUAUGUACCAGCACAACUGGCACAUGCAAUCUUGAUUUGAAUCACUGAAAAACACACUUCAAAAUUGAAAAUGCGAAAAAAAAAGUCAUAUAAGGUGUAGUUGACUUUCAUCCUGGAAUCUUCAAUCGUGUAUUGCCCAGUUACUUAUACGUAUGUAUGUGGUACAUACAAUAUUAGGACCCUGUAUUGGCAAACUAGUGAUUUAGGUAUAUUUAUGUUUUCCGUAGCAUGAAUAUAAUAUUAAGUAUUGACUGAAUUGGAAUCUUGUUUCUGAAAUAACUACAGCCACUGUUUUUUGCUAAGACAUCCAUGUUACUGCAUCAAUAACAGUAAUUUGGUUUUACUUGCUGCCUUCAUUAGGUAUAGGGGCUAUCUGCAAUGUCUUGCUGUUCUGUUUCUUCUGCACUUGACGAAGUCCUCAGAGUUAUUUUCAGCUUGCUGAGUAUAUUCUUAUUGGAAGAAAAUUUUCAUUUUUGAUUAAUGUUGUGCCUGGUUUUACUGAAUUCAAACAUUCUGCAGUGGGCAGAGCCAGUGUUAUCACCUGAUUUUGCUCUGUAUAACUAGGUAGUUUUGGUCCAAAACCAAUUACCACCUAGUAUCAGAAAAAACUGCCAAAGAAUUGGGUGGUAUUUUCACUUCCCAUUCCACUUCAGCAUAGACUGGUCCAGGCUGACCUCUUCAGACCAGGCCAGGUUAUAAGUGAACGUUAUUUGCCAUCUCUACGGUUCAACUGCUGGCUGCAGCAACUUUUCAUCUGUUUUGUUUUCGCCAAAACUGGCACAAUGCAGGGAAAAGGAGAAGUGAAGAAGAAGAGGAAAAGAGGAGCCAGAGAAGAUGACAUGAAUGGGUGGAAGAAAAAGAAGAUGAAGGAUUGUUAGAGAACUAGAUGGAAUUCUUAAAGGCUUCUUAUCAACGAAGCUUCUGCACAUAUACAUUAAACUGGACCCGCAUAUUCUCACAAUAAUAUUCAACUUCUAUAGUACUUUCUCAGUGUCUCUGUUUUAUUCCAGCAGAUGGGCAGGAUGUAUCAUUUUCCGGGAAGUUUCGAGGUUCAAAACUAAAAGGGAGGCUGGACAUGGCCAUGCUUAAAGUUAUCUCACAUUUCUUGACAUCAAGUGGUAUUUUUUUGGUGGUCCUUACCGCAUCCUAUUGUACAAAAUCUAUCACCAAGAUACUCCUUGCCUGCAACAUGUUCAAUGACCUUUGCUGCUGCUUCAAGACUGUUGUUUGAUGCCUGGAAUUCUUCUUCCCCUUCCUAUUCUGCCCACUGCUUUGCAUUUCUAGAUCCCACACAAGGUAUCUGGUGCAUAAACUAAAGGCACUUAAUGUGCUCCCUUAUGCAUGUGAUCUGGUGAAAGCCACGUUGAUUCAGAUACAGCAGAUGUUGUUCAAAGGCUUAGAAAAGGCAGGAGACAAGCGGCAUGAGCAACACAGAAAAUGGGAACAUGGCCAUGUACUGGCGCCUACUUCAGUGGACCUACAUCAGAUCAAGAAAGAACAUCCAAGAACAUGAAUGCAAACCACAAACCAGGUACAAUGGUACGAUGGUGGUGGUUCUUUCACUGAUUGCAUCAUAUCCUGUGGCUAUAAUAUCUUUCGUUAUCUGAGUGCUACUCCAAAUAUUUGGUUGGCGCAUCAUCAUCAUCAUCAUCACGGUGAUGAUCGAGAAAGCCAAGCUGCCGAGUCGGUUCGGAUGCAUGGGAAACUAAGAACCGAGGCACGGGAAACGACGGGAUGAGAAGAGUGGCGUUGGUUGCUGGACCACAGGCUUGGUAUUAUGACAGAGUCGGUCUGAGCACUUUUUUGGGCUCUACCAUAUUUCUAAGACUUGGUACUUUCCAUGGAGUUGUUGUCACAGUGAUCCCAACAACAUACUGUUCAUUGACAUAUAUAUAUCAGGUAAUGGAUAACCCAACCUCAAGAGAGAGAGA
This is a non-coding RNA of Musa acuminata subsp. malaccensis (wild Malaysian banana), 3573 nucleotides long. The record is from RefSeq and is a predicted model, not a curated record. Lineage: Eukaryota; Viridiplantae; Streptophyta; Magnoliopsida; Zingiberales; Musaceae.